This 175-nucleotide microRNA precursor is filed under the name Ipomoea nil (Japanese morning glory). RNAcentral's name for it is "mir-172 microRNA precursor family". It matches the Rfam family "mir-172 microRNA precursor family". From Rfam's summary of the family: mir-172 has been experimentally verified in Arabidopsis thaliana. This family is thought to target mRNAs coding for APETALA2-like transcription factors. The record is from Rfam by way of RNAcentral. Lineage: Eukaryota; Viridiplantae; Streptophyta; Magnoliopsida; Solanales; Convolvulaceae.
UUGGUUGCUGGUGCAGCAUCAUCAAGAUUCACAUCAUAUCACAUGCAUCUAUCUAUGAGUGAUCUGAGCUGGAUGAUGAUCAUCAGCUUCUGGGAUGGAUGGAUGGAUGGUCUAUCAGGUUUAAUGAUAGAUAUAUAGAUGAUGAGAAUCUUGAUGAUGCUGCAUCGGCCAUGAA